Molecule: ribosomal RNA, 425 nt
Filed under: uncultured eukaryote
Lineage: Eukaryota
Description: bacterial SSU rRNA
Rfam family: Eukaryotic small subunit ribosomal RNA
Source: RNAcentral
CAAUAGCGUAUAUUAAAGUUGUUGCGGUUAAAAAGCUCGUAGUUGGAUUUCUGCCGAGGACGACCGGUCCGCCCUCUGGGUGAGCAUCUGGAUCGGCCUGGGCAUCUUCUUGGGGAACGUGUCUGCACUUGACUGUGUGGUGCGGUAUCCAGGACUUUUACUUUGAGGAAAUUAGAGUGUUCACGGCAGGCAAGCGCCUUGAAUAUAUUAGCAUGGAAUAAUAAUAUAGGACUUUGGUUCUAUUUUGUUGGUUUCUAGAACUAAAGUAAUGAUUAAUAGGGAUAAUUGGGGGCGAUUUGUACUAUCGAGUCAGAGGUGGAAUUCUUGGAUUUCGAUAUGACAAACUAACUGCGAAAGCAUUUGUCCAAGGAUGUUUUCAUUGAUCAAGAACGAAAGUAUGGGGAUCGAAGACGAUCAGAUACCGU